This 491-nucleotide ribosomal RNA is filed under the name uncultured bacterium. RNAcentral's name for it is "bacterial SSU rRNA". It matches the Rfam family "Bacterial small subunit ribosomal RNA", at positions 28 to 526 of the family's 1533-position model. The record is from RNAcentral.
GACGAACGCUGGCGGCGUGCUUAACACAUGCAAGUCGAACGAUGAUGCUACCAGCUUGCUGGUGGUGGAUUAGUGGCGAACGGGUGAGUAACACGUGAGGAACCUGUCCUUGACUCUGGGAUAAGCCUGGGAAACUGGGUCUAAUACUGGAUAUGACCAAUUGUCGCAUGGUGGUUGGUGGAAAGAUUUGUUUUGGUCAAGGGUGGUCUCGCGGCCUAUCAGCUUGUUGGUGGGGUAGUGGCCUACCAAGGCGAUGACGGGUAGCCGGCCUGUGAGGGUGACCGGCCACACUGGGACUGAGACACGGCCCAGACUCCUACGGGAGGCAGCAGUGGGGAAUAUUGCACAAUGGGCGGAAGCCUGAUGCAGCAACGCCGCGUGGGGGAUGACGGCCUUCGGGUUGUAAACCUCUUUUAGCAGGGAAGAAGCGAGAGUGACGGUACCUGCAGAAAAAGCGCCGGCUAACUACGUGCCAGCAGCCGCCGUAACAC